GUUUCAGACAAAGAGGAGGAGCAAAUGUCAGUUUUACCAUUAAAAAGUCUGAAAGAAAUAGAGAUCUUCGAAAAAAAUUGGAAAAUGAAACAUUUGCCUUAGACCUGAUAAAUGAGCUGGCAGAAAACAUACCAAAUAACGAAAGGGCGACAGUUCGCGCCCUUAGACCAAAGAUAUGGCUAAACUAUUUGCAGCAAAGCAAAUGCAAAGGGCAGAAAAGGGAAAUUAAACUUCUCAGGAUUAAAUCUGUCCAAUAUUAUAAUUCAAGCCAUACAAAAAAAAAUACAAAGGGUGUACAAAAGAAAAUAUUACAUUAAAUCUAGGAUUUGUCCUAGCGCAUGCUGGAGAUUGGGGC
Long non-coding RNA from Ctenocephalides felis (cat flea), 355 nucleotides. RefSeq lists it as uncharacterized. The record is from RefSeq and is a predicted model, not a curated record. Lineage: Eukaryota; Metazoa; Arthropoda; Insecta; Siphonaptera; Pulicidae. The transcript is spliced from 3 exons.